This is a long non-coding RNA of Vanessa tameamea, 696 nucleotides long. RefSeq lists it as uncharacterized. Lineage: Eukaryota; Metazoa; Arthropoda; Insecta; Lepidoptera; Nymphalidae. The record is from RefSeq and is a predicted model, not a curated record. The transcript is spliced from 2 exons.
UAUCUGACACCUGUGCAACAUUAACAGUUUUAUAAACAAAGAUAUUCACACAAAAGAGAGGAUUGCUAACGAUAAAACUUAGUAUAAAGCUGAGUAUCCUGGAUUGUUAUUUUCAUAGUACGAGAGCAAUGAGUCCUGCAACGUGGAUUGUUUCUUUCAUCGGCCUUGUUAUAUUUAAUAUUACAGAAUAAGGUCAUGUGUGCAGUUAUGGUGGCGGAUAUUUAGGUGGAUUACGCCAGGCUCCAGCAGCGUUACCUGUCAGAGUUACCAGCAGAACAGCUGCUGUUCUAGCUCCAAUGCUGCGACUGACAACAUUCCCUCCUCACCCGCACUUGAUGGAAUGAGACGGAGACUUAGAAAAAACUCUACUGAUACAAUUGAUUGCUAGAAAAGAGGCCAGACUAGUGACAUGAAAUUAUAGUUAUGUCAGAUACUUGUAAAUUUAAAAUAAAGUUGUAUUUGUCGUAAAUAAAAGUUAAUAUUUAAGUCAAAACAUGUUGUUCAUUCGACUGUAUUAAUAUUCAUUUAUUUAUAAUUUGUAAUAACAAAUUAUUUUUAUAAUAAAACGGAAAAUUUCGUCUUUUUCUCAAAAUACAUUUAUUUAAGAAAUAACUACUUACUAUUUACUUAGUGAUAUUAUAAAAUAAAUAUAAAUAUUCUUAUUAUAUUUGACACGAUUAAAGUAUUUGAUAGUCA